CCGUUUCCGUACGGACGUCAAGGAGCACACACCAUGGAGAAGACCGGCGGCAGCCGAAAGAAAGGCCUGAAGCGCAAGAGCGCUGCCGAAGAACCUCAGGAGGCUGCAGUCGGUGAGGAUGGGGCGACGGAAAGCGGGGGCCAAGCCCCGAAAGCGUCCGCCUUCCCUCCGGGCUUCAGCAUUUCCGAGAUUAAGAACAAACAGCGGCGACACUUAAUGUUCACGCGGUGGAAGCAGCAGCAGCGGAAGGAAAAGUUGGCAGCUAAGAAAAAACUUAAAAAAGAGAGAGAGGCUCUUGGUGAUAAGGCUCCACCAAAGCCUAUACCCAAGACCAUUGACAACCAGCGAGUAUAUGAUGAAACCACAGUAGACCCUAAUGAUGAAGAGGUUGCUUAUGAUGAAGCUACAGAUGAAUUUGCUUCUUAUUUCAACAGACAAACUUCUCCCAAGAUUCUCAUUACAACAUCAGAUAGACCUCAUGGGAGAACAGUACGACUCUGUGAACAGCUUUCCACAGUUAUACCAAACUCACAUGUUUAUUACAGAAGAGGACUGGCUCUGAAAAGAAUUAUUCCACAGUGCAUCUCAAGAGAUUUCACAGAUCUGAUCGUUAUUAAUGAAGAUCGUAAAACACCAAAUGGAUUAAUUCUGAGUCACUUGCCAAAUGGACCAACUGCUCAUUUUAAAAUGAGCAGUGUUCGUCUGCGUAAAGAAAUUAAGAGAAGAGGCAAGGACCCCACAGAACACGUACCUGAAAUAAUUCUGAAUAAUUUUACAACAAGGCUGGGUCAUUCUGUUGGACGAAUGUUUGCAUCUCUCUUUCCCCAUAAUCCUCAGUUUAUUGGAAGGCAGGUUGCCACAUUCCACAAUCAACGGGAUUAUAUCUUCUUCAGAUUUCACAGAUACAUAUUCAAGAGUGAAAAGAAAGUGGGAAUUCAGGAACUUGGACCACGUUUUACCUUGAAAUUAAGAUCUCUUCAGAAAGGAACCUUUGAUUCUAAAUAUGGUGAAUAUGAAUGGGUCCAUAAGGUAUGUACUUACUCUAGAAAAGCCAUUUAGAUGAUUUUAAGUAUGGGAUGAGAAGGAAAUCGUGUACUUUUUAAGCUUUGAGUUCUACCUCAAGUUAUGCUUCUGAAUAUCUUCCAUCAUGAGCUAAAAACCAUUUUCUGAUGUGGUAAUUGGAUCUGGUGAUUAAUCCUGGUUCAUUUGAAGUAUCCUAAAUAUUUAUGGUUCUCAAAGUAGGACCAGAAGCAUCACCCAGAAACUUUUAAGAUGAAAAAUUGUUGGGCCAUAGAUUUACUGAAUUCGACCCAGCAACCUAUUCAUAAGCUUGUGCUACCCUAAUUCUGGUGCAUGCUUGAGAAUUAUUUUCUAUCUACCCCGGGAAAUGGAUACAAGUAGAAGAAAAUUCCACUUAUAAAAUACUGAAGGAAUAGUACUGGAUUUUGCGGAACGGGCCUAUCUUGAAUUUGUAACAGAAGACUCUUCAAAAUGGCAUUUACUGAUUUCAUAUACCUUAUUUCGUGUCUGGACAAAUUACCAAGUGCCAUGAAUUACCACUCACUGUUUCUGUAGGAAAUACAAAUAAAAGUAUUUUGGUGAGAGUGUA
Myotis myotis is the source of this 1609-nucleotide RNA transcript. It is a transcript of the gene named ribosome production factor 1 homolog, with no coding region annotated. The transcript is spliced from 9 exons. The record is from RefSeq and is a predicted model, not a curated record. Lineage: Eukaryota; Metazoa; Chordata; Mammalia; Chiroptera; Vespertilionidae.